RNAcentral lists this ribosomal RNA (253 nucleotides) under uncultured bacterium. Its description in RNAcentral is "partial 16S ribosomal RNA". It matches the Rfam family "Bacterial small subunit ribosomal RNA", at positions 524 to 776 of the family's 1533-position model. The record is from RNAcentral.
UACAGAGGUCCCAAGCGUUGCUCGGAUUCACUGGGCGUAAAGGGUGCGUAGGUGGCCAGGUAAGUUCGGUGUGGAAGCUCGGAGCUUAACUCCGAAAUGUCAUUGAAUACUAUCUGGCUGGAGGGUCGGAGGGGAGACUGGAAUUCUCGGUGUAGCAGUGAAAUGCGUAGAUAUCGAGAGGAACACCAGUGGCGAAGGCGAGUCUCUGGACGACUCCUGACACUGAGGCACGAAAGCCAGGGGAGCAAACAGG